AUGGACAUGAGGGCCGCCACUCAGCUCCUGGGGCUCCUGCUGCUCUGUCUCCCAGGUGCCAGAUGUGACAUCCAGGUGACCCAGUCUCCAUCCUCCCUGUCAACAGCGGUGGGAGGCACAGCCACCAUUCAUUGUGAAGUGAGCGAGUACAUUAACAAAGCUUUUGCCUGGUAUCAGCAGAAACCAGGGCAGCCUCCAAAGCUCCUGAUCUAUUAUGCAUCCAGUUUAGUCGAUGGGGUCCCUGACAGGUUCAGUGGCAGUGGAUCUGGGAUGGAGUUCACUCUCACCAUCAGUGGUGUGCAGCCUGAAGAUGCUGCCACUUAUUUUUGUGAACAAAGUUAUGAUUGGCCUACCACAGUGAUACAAAACCAAACAUAA
Non-coding RNA from Ochotona curzoniae (black-lipped pika), 378 nucleotides. The record is from the annotation of a RefSeq genome assembly. Lineage: Eukaryota; Metazoa; Chordata; Mammalia; Lagomorpha; Ochotonidae.